GAAAGAGGAGUCCUGCAGAAGAGGGAAUGAGAGGAUCAUAAAGAAAAAGAAGAAAGAUCCUGAGGAGAGAGAAUCACUGUUGUGAGGGGUUUCAAACACUUCCUUUUCCCUGGUCAAGGAGAGCUUUCACAAGAAGGAGGCUGCUGGUGCAUUGCACAGGGGAAACAAAGAGCCGCCAACAGAGAAAAGCAAACCUGCACCUUUCAGAGUGUGUGUGGGACUGUGGACUCCUAUUGACUUCUGUGGCUCUUGGAUCACAGUUGUCUCAAACCCAGUCAGCAGCAGUCUGUUUAAAGAAGCUUGCCCUUGAGCUGAGAGUAAGGAUGAUGAAUUGCAUAAAGGAGAGCUUUUCAGUUUGAAGCAUUUGAAGUUCACUGAUUACAGGCAAGUGGAUUGAACUUGUUGUCCUGAAGAACUCUGGCCCACAAGCACUUGGAUCUACUGUUUGUGUUCCCUCACCUUUUCCUGGGGAGGUGAAGUGCAUGUGGCUGCAUUAUAAUUAUAGACAAGGAUUGCUUGAAGAAACUGAAACAUCAGCUUUCAAAUAAAACCUGGAAACCACAAUCUAGAAGCAGCCACAAAAACUGGAUCCCCAGUAGCUUUCAGAGGGUAGUACUAUUGGAAAAGAUUUAUGAAGUCUUGCUUUUUCACAUUGACUCAUGUGAUUUUGUUGCAUUUAUUUCAGUGCACAAUGGGGACCCAGUUGAAUACCUCGUGACUUCCAUGUGAUCCCACUGCUGGAUCUUCCUUUGGGCUCCAUGGUAUUGGGUAUUGGUCUGGGUGAGGAAGGGGAAAGCUGGUGCAAAGAUCUUUUCUUUACCUGACAUAUGAUGAUACCUAAGCAAGAAGCUGUAUUAAA
Molecule: long non-coding RNA, 859 nt
Organism: Hirundo rustica (Barn swallow)
Lineage: Eukaryota; Metazoa; Chordata; Aves; Passeriformes; Hirundinidae
Exons: 4
Source: RefSeq, a predicted model, not a curated record